GAGUGAAGAGGGAAGAGCUCAUCAUUGGAAUCUGGCAGUGUUUCACUGUCCGAGUUGUAGAUGAGGAGUAGUCCGUCUGGACUGCAUGGCGUCCAAGUACAAUAGGCCGUCAGUGGGACAUCAUAGAGGGUGACAAUCCCGUCCUUGACGCCAAUGUGCAAGUCUAUUACGAUGGCUAUCUCAGAGAGUCGAGCAGUUUGGGAUUUGCUGCUUAAACAUGGGAGGUAGAUUCCUUCUAAAGCUAAAUACAGGCGAGAGACCGAUAGAGAACAAGUACCGCAAGGGAAAGAUGAAAUAGCACUCUGUGAAGGGAGUCAAAAGGCGUGAAAUUGUUGCGAGAGAAGCGAUUCAAGUCAGCGUAGCUAGGCCCAUCAAGCGUCUUCGCUUUGGACUAGCUUUGCCAGCGGUCUUGUCCCUUAAAGAGACUUGACUUGUAAUAUGUCCAGCCUGGCGUGCACAGGCAGCCCCUUCUGGGGGCCAGUGACAUGGCUGGUGGAAUGGCUUGCAAUCGACCCGUCUUGAAACACGGACCAAGGAGUCUAACAUGUAUGCGAGUAUAAGGGUGGCAAACCCGUAUGCGCAAUGAAAGUGAUUUUCGGUGAUUGAGAAUGGCCUGAUGACCAGACAAGCAAUAUAUGUCCCUCGUACGGCCAUUGCCCAAGUUCCGUGGUAGAUCCCACGAACAUGGAGUUGGAGCAUACAUGCUAGGACCCGAAAGAUGGUGAACUAUGCCUGGACAAAGCGAAGCCAAAGGAAACUCUGGUGGAGGCUUGUAGCGAUUCUGACGUGCAAAUCGAUCGUCUGAUCUGGGUAUAGGGGCGAAAGACUAAUC
Molecule: ribosomal RNA, 832 nt
Filed under: Cantharellus cibarius var. cibarius
Lineage: Eukaryota; Fungi; Basidiomycota; Agaricomycetes; Cantharellales; Hydnaceae
Description: LSU rRNA
Rfam family: Eukaryotic large subunit ribosomal RNA
Source: RNAcentral